ACGAACGCUGGCGGCGUGCCUAACACAUGCAAGUCGAGGGAGAAAAGGGGCUUCGGCUCCUGAGUAAACCGGCGCACGGGUGAGUAACACGUAGGUAACGUACCCUAGAGUCCGGGAUAACCAGUCGAAAGAUUGGCUAAUACCGGAUACGACCACGAAAGCUCCGGCUUUUGUGGUGAAAGACGGCCUCUGUUUACAAGCUGUCACUCCUGGAUCGGCCUGCGCACCAUUAGCUAGUUGGUGAGGUAAUGGCUCACCAAGGCUGAGAUGGUUAGCUGGUCUGAGAGGAUGGCCAGCCACACUGGGACUGAGACACGGCCCAGACUCCUACGGGAGGCAGCAGUGGGGAAUAUUGCGCAAUGGGCGAAAGCCUGACGCAGCGACGCCGCGUGGGUGAUGAAGGCCUUCGGGUCGUAAAGCCCUGUCGGGAGGGAAGAAACAGUCCGGACCAAAUACGUCCGGACAUUGACGGUACCUCCUAAGGAAGCACCGGCUAACUCCGUGCCAGCAGCCGCGGUCA
RNAcentral lists this ribosomal RNA (520 nucleotides) under uncultured Rhizobium sp. RNAcentral describes it as "bacterial SSU rRNA". It matches the Rfam family "Bacterial small subunit ribosomal RNA", at positions 29 to 523 of the family's 1533-position model. The record is from RNAcentral. Lineage: Bacteria; Pseudomonadati; Pseudomonadota; Alphaproteobacteria; Hyphomicrobiales; Rhizobiaceae.